AGAGUUUGAUCAUGGCUCAGGAUGAGCGCUGGCGGCGUGCCUAACACAUGCAAGUCGAGCGAUUCUCUUCGGAGAAGAGCGGCGGACGGGUGAGUAACGCGUGGGUAACCUGCCCUGUACACACGGAUAACAUACCGAAAGGUAUGCUAAUACGAGAUAAUAUGCUUUUAUCGCAUGGUAGAAGUAUCAAAGCUUUUGCGGUACAGGAUGGACCCGCGUCUGAUUAGCUAGUUGGUAAGGUAACGGCUUACCAAGGCGACGAUCAGUAGCCGACCUGAGAGGGUGAUCGGCCACAUUGGAACUGAGACACGGUCCAAACUCCUACGGAGGCA
RNAcentral lists this ribosomal RNA (332 nucleotides) under uncultured bacterium. Its description in RNAcentral is "bacterial SSU rRNA". It matches the Rfam family "Bacterial small subunit ribosomal RNA", at positions 8 to 350 of the family's 1533-position model. The record is from RNAcentral.